GAAUGACCAAGAUAGUCAACUUAUAAAGGGAAAAGGUUUAUUUUGGCUCAUAGUUUUGGAGAUUUAAGUCCAUGAUUAGUUGGCUCUAUUUCUUUGGGCCUCUGACAAGGCAGCAUACCAUGAUGGAAACAUGUGGCAGAGCAAAGACACUUAUACCACAAGUCACAGAACAAGAAAAGGAAAGGGCUGAGUCUGCCACAGGACCAGCACGCGAGCUUCAUAAAAGAGGUUCGAAGCAUAUGAAUUAACUAGUGAGUUCUAAAAUUAAAGAGACAUACUCUAUUUACCUUUUAAUGCCCAGCUCCAGAGACGGCUUCUCCUAGCUCCCGCCUCCAGCCACCUAAUGCAGUGGCGAGGUUUACCCAAGAGGCUAGCGAAAGAGAGAAAACACGCCAGGGAGUGAGCUUUUAUUGGGGAACAAAAAAAUCAAGGGAAAAUUCCAUCCAAUGAAGGUCGGAGGUGCCGCAUCCGGC
Molecule: long non-coding RNA, 473 nt
Filed under: Marmota monax (woodchuck)
Lineage: Eukaryota; Metazoa; Chordata; Mammalia; Rodentia; Sciuridae
Source: RNAcentral